GAAAAAGAAAGAAAGGAAAAUGGACGGACAAACAAAAAAGGAAAGAUUGAUCGAGGCCAGGUGACUAGUCACCAAUCAGCCAACCGUAUUCCUUCCUUCCUUGCUUCCACUGUCUGUUCUGUUCUGUUCCGUGAAUUCUUUUUUCUCAUCUAUCUUCCACUUACGGCCGCAAAUU
This 175-nucleotide non-coding RNA is filed under the name Chromera velia. The record is from RNAcentral. Lineage: Eukaryota; Chromeraceae.